RNAcentral lists this small RNA (920 nucleotides) under Pongo abelii (Sumatran orangutan). Its description in RNAcentral is "processed transcript". The record is from RNAcentral. Lineage: Eukaryota; Metazoa; Chordata; Mammalia; Primates; Hominidae.
AGAAGAGGAGCGGCGAGUGCGGGAGACCGUGCGCAGGGAUAAAACGCUCCUGAAGGAGAAGAGGAAGCGACGCGAGGAGCUGUUCAUCGAACAGAAGAAAAGAAAACUCCUUCCAGACACUAUUUUAGAGAAGUUAACCACAGCUUCACAGACUAACAUCAAGAAAUCGCCAGGAAAGGCGAAAGAAGUUAAUUUGCAAAAGAAAAAUGAAGACUGUGAAAAAGGAAAUGACUCCAAGAAAGUUAAAGUACAAAAAGUACAGUCUGUCAGCCAGAAUAAAAGCUAUUUGGCUGUAAGGCUAAAAGACCAAGAUCUGAGAGACUCAAGGCAACAAGCAGCACAAGCCUUCAUACAUAAUUCAUUAUAUGGGCCAGGAACCAACAGGACUACUGUAAAUAAGUUCCUGUCUCUUGCCAACAAGAGGUUACCAGUGAAAAGAGCUGCUGUCCAGUUUUUGAAUAAUGCUUGGGGAAUCCAGAAAAAACAAAAUGCCAAGAGGUUUAAAAGACGGUGGAUGGUCAGAAAGAUGAAAACUAAGAAGUAAAUCAAUGCUAAAUGAAGAAUCUGUACUUUUGUUCUUGCCACAGUCUCUCCUUAGCUGUUCACUCAUCGCUUGCAGCUCUCGUCCAAAGUGGAUCAUUCUUUCUAUGGCGGCCUGACUUCCUCCACACAACUGGCGUCUCAACUGACUUGAAUCAACUUCUGUAAGAAAAACAGACAAGUAUUUUACUACCUUAUGGAAUGGAGUAUAAUGAGGACAUGAACAUACAUUUCUUAUAACAUUUUGUACAUUUAGUAACUAUUCCCUAAUAUUUCAACUAAAUAUGCAGAUUGUUAAAAAUUCAUUUUUAAUAUGAAACUGCAGCUAAAAGAUAUACUUUAUUUAGCUCUCAAGAGUCUAGGAUCCAGUAUUCAGCAUG